UAACCAAUUAAUGCUCACCCCUAAGUGCAAGUGACAAUUGGACCUAUAAAUUUAGUCCAGUCUAGUUGUACUUGAGGGGAGAGUGUUGGACGUCAUGCAUUGGUAACAAUAAGAAAAAGAUGAGAAAAUAUAUAGCAAGGGAAAGCCGCCAAAUUGGCUUGAGCCAUUUUGGUGCAGACAACUCCAAGCUCGACGCAUAGACCUUUGCCAAUUGUCAACCGCACUAUCAGGAACCGGGUCAGAGAAUUUCACACUAACAAUGAUUGACAAAUGUUGGAGCCAAUGGGUGUGUCACAUCAAAUAGGUCCUUAAAGCUAAGUUACCUAAUUGCAAGGAAUAAUCUGGUUUGUGCUUGUCAUACUUAGCUUAUCCUUCUAUCUUCCUUAUUUUCUUUGUGAGUAAUGAUCUUUUGCAAACAGAACCUUCCUCUUUGCUACUGUUAUGUCAUUUAGAAGAGAAACACCACCUCACUUUUUCUAUAAUGUUGAAAAACUAGAAUUUGCUUUGUUGAUGAACAAUAUGUAGGCUCAAUGGCACACUUGUUAUUUAUAUGUUUGAUCUAUUAAUGUUCUAAUUUUUCUAGUCUGAAUAAACUUUCAUUGUUUCCCAUCCAAUGAAGGUUGUUGAUAUCCAACUUGGG
RNAcentral lists this unclassified non-coding RNA (640 nucleotides) under Hevea brasiliensis (rubber tree). Lineage: Eukaryota; Viridiplantae; Streptophyta; Magnoliopsida; Malpighiales; Euphorbiaceae. The record is from RNAcentral.